RNAcentral lists this ribosomal RNA (253 nucleotides) under uncultured bacterium. RNAcentral describes it as "partial 16S ribosomal RNA". It matches the Rfam family "Bacterial small subunit ribosomal RNA", at positions 524 to 776 of the family's 1533-position model. The record is from RNAcentral.
GACGGAGGGUGCAAGCAUUGAUCGGAAUUACUGGGCGUAAAGGGCGCGUAGGCGGUUAGGAAAGUCAGAUGUGAAAUUCCGGGGCUCAACCCCGGAGCUGCAUUUGAAACUUCCAGACUAGAGUGCAGUUAGGGUAAACGGAAUUCCACGUGUAGCGGUGAAAUGCGUAGAUAUGUGGAAGAACACCGGUGGUGAAGACGGUUUACUGGGCUGAAACUGAUGCUGAGGCGCGAAAGCAAGGGGAGCAAACAGG